GUUGAAAGAUGCAGAAAAGUUACCCUGAGAAUAAAGGUAGCAGAAAGAAAAUCUAAUUUAACUUUUUUUUUUUUUUUAAUAUACUCUCUGCCAGCAACUCUCUGCAAGGUCCUAAGGGUUCUAAGUUGAAUAAGGCCCACUCCCUCCCUUCCAGGACUUUAGCUGAGGUUGGUUGGGGCAGAAGUCGGGCAAGACUCAUCGGAACGGAUUAACAGAGACAGAAUCCAGAGGCAACGGGGUGAAUUCCAAGUAUAGAAAAGACACACUUGGUCUGAGGGUAUGUUUCAGCUCAGGCAUGCUGCCAUCAGGACCACGUAAAGCUGGAUUUUUCUACGCUAGUCCAUUUGCACGAUCUGGACUCAGAAGAGAUUUAAGUUUCAAAUCUGGCUUUGUCAGUUAAUGCUUGUGGGAUCUCAACCACGUCACUGACUUCUCUGAGCAUGCUUCCAUAUUUCUACAAAGGAAACAAUAGGUGACUCUGCUGAGUUGAGCACUUGCGAGUACCAAGCAGUAAGUGUUUUACACCUAUUUACUCAUUUAAUCCUCCUGAAAAUCCGUGUGACACCUGUGUUGUUAUUACCCCCAUUUGACAGGUGAGGACCUGAGGCACAGAUGCUAACCAGCUUGCUGGAGAUCACACACUCAUGAGUGGCAGAGUGGGGCUUGGAACCGGGUAGCCUGGCUCUGGAGCCCUCACUCCAUCCACACACCAUGCUGGGACCCAGUCGAGUGACCAGCAGACCGGUUGUGUGGGUUAGGUGGAAUGGUGGAUAUAAACCACACAGCCCAGCUCCUGACCCAUGCUGGGCCCUCAUUCCUCCUGAAUUCCUUCUCAUUCCUGCCGCCUUCUGAAGAAGGUGCCUUGCUUCCCCUUCACCUUCUGCCGUGAUUGUAACUUUCCUGAGGCCUCCCCAGCCAUGC
Molecule: long non-coding RNA, 921 nt
Filed under: Homo sapiens (human)
Lineage: Eukaryota; Metazoa; Chordata; Mammalia; Primates; Hominidae
Description: non-protein coding LINC00486:5
Source: RNAcentral